CAAGUCGAGCGAGAAUCUUCUGAACGAUCCUUCGGGUGAGUGAAGAAGAGGAGAGCGGCGGACGGGUGAGUAACGCGUGGGUAACCUGCCCUAUGGAGGGGGAUAACGCAGAGAAAUUUGCGCUAAUACCGCAUAAGCGCACAGUAUCGCAUGAUACAGUGUGAAAAACUCCGGUGCCAUAGGAUGGACCCGCGUCAGAUUAGCUAGUUGGUGGGAUAAAAGCUCACCAAGGCGACGAUCUGUAGCCGACCUGAGAGGGUGAUCGGCCACAUUGGGACUGAGACACGGCCCAAACUCCUACGGGAGGCAGCAGUGGGGGAUACUGCACAAUGGGCGAAAGCCUGAUGCAGCAACGCCGCGUGAAGGAAGAC
RNAcentral lists this ribosomal RNA (371 nucleotides) under uncultured low G+C Gram-positive bacterium. Its description in RNAcentral is "bacterial SSU rRNA". It matches the Rfam family "Bacterial small subunit ribosomal RNA", at positions 58 to 412 of the family's 1533-position model. The record is from RNAcentral. Lineage: Bacteria; Bacillati; Bacillota.